GACGAACGCUGGCGGCGUGCUUAACACAUGCAAGUCGUACGAUGACCCGGCUCUUCGGCGCUGGUGAUUAGUGGCGAACGGGUGAGUAACACGUGGGUGACCUGCCCUGCACUCUGGGAUAAGCCCGGGAAACUGGGUCUAAUACUGGAUACGACCAGUGGCCGCAUGGUCUGCUGGUGGAAAGCCCUUCGGGGUGGUGUGGGAUGGGCCCGCGGCCUAUCAGCUUGUUGGUGGGGUGAUGGCCUACCAAGGCGACGACGGGUAGCCGGCCUGAGAGGGUGUCCGGCCACACUGGGACUGGGACACGGCCCAGACUCCUACGGGAGGCAGCAGUGGGGAAUCUUGCACAAUGGGCGAAAGCCUGAUGCAGCGACGCCGCGUGAGGGAUGACGGCCUUCGGGUGGUAAACCUCUUUCGGCAGGGAACAAGCCUGGGGGGUUUCUUCUGGGUGAGGGUACCUGCGGAAGAAGCACCGGCUAACUACGUG
Molecule: ribosomal RNA, 487 nt
Filed under: uncultured bacterium
Lineage: Bacteria
Description: partial 16S ribosomal RNA
Rfam family: Bacterial small subunit ribosomal RNA
Source: RNAcentral